Molecule: ribosomal RNA, 446 nt
Filed under: uncultured bacterium
Lineage: Bacteria
Description: bacterial SSU rRNA
Rfam family: Bacterial small subunit ribosomal RNA
Source: RNAcentral
CCAGACUCCUACGGGAGGCAGCAGUGGGGAAUAUUGCACAAUGGGGGAAACCCUGAUGCAGCGACGCCGCGUGAGUGAAGAAGUAUUUCGGUAUGUAAAGCUCUAUCAGCAGGGAAGAUAAUGACGGUACCUGACUAAGAAGCCCCGGCUAACUACGUGCCAGCAGCCGCGGUAAUACGUAGGGGGCAAGCGUUAUCCGGAUUUACUGGGUGUAAAGGGUGCGUAGGUGGCAUGGCAAGUCAGAAGUGAAAGCCCGGGGCUCAACCCCGCGGACUGCUUUUGAAACUGUCAGGCUGGAGUACAGGAGAGGUAAGCGGAAUUCCUAGUGUAGCGGUGAAAUGCGUAGAUAUUAGGAGGAACGCCAGUGGCGAAGGCGGUCUGCUGGACAGCAACUGACGCUGAGGCGCGAAAGCGUGGGGAGCAAACAGGAUUAGAUACCCUCGUAA